AUCCCUUGGGGCUCAUAAAUGUGAUGACUGGGUGUUCACAAUAUUGUGAGGCGCACCUCCCCUGUUUCCUCAUGGGCACAUUACCCAUCUGACA
This 94-nucleotide small nucleolar RNA is filed under the name Sciurus vulgaris (Eurasian red squirrel). RNAcentral describes it as "Small nucleolar RNA U13 (ENSSVLG00005007783.1)". It matches the Rfam family "Small nucleolar RNA U13". Lineage: Eukaryota; Metazoa; Chordata; Mammalia; Rodentia; Sciuridae. The record is from Rfam by way of RNAcentral.